Molecule: ribosomal RNA, 406 nt
Filed under: uncultured bacterium
Lineage: Bacteria
Description: partial 16S ribosomal RNA
Rfam family: Bacterial small subunit ribosomal RNA
Source: RNAcentral
AUUGAACGCUGGCGGCAGGCUUAACACAUGCAAGUCGAACGAGUGGCGGACGGGUGAGUAAUGCCUGGGAAACUAUCUUAUGGAGGGGGAUAACUACGGGAAACUGUAGCUAAUACCGCGUACCAUCGGAUGCGCCCACAUGGGAUUAGGUAGUUGGUGAGGUAAAGGCUCACCAAGCCAACGAUCUCUAGCUGGUCUGAGAGGAUGACCAGCCACACUGGCACUGAGACACGGCCCAGACUCCUACGGGAGGCAGCAGUGGGGAAUAUUGCGCAAUGGGGGCAAGCCUGACGCAGCCAUGCCGCGUGAAUGAAGAAGGCCUUCGGGUUGUAAAGUUCUUUCGGGAGCGAGGCGUUAACCACAGAAGAAGCACCGGCUAACUCCGUGCCAGCAGCCGCGGUAAUAC